UGAAAGAAUUAGUUAAAAAAUAACAUAAAUAUGUCAAAUUUAAAUUAUUAUUAUAAAUAAUAUUCUUUUAU
RNAcentral lists this transfer RNA (71 nucleotides) under Spodoptera frugiperda (fall armyworm). RNAcentral's name for it is "tRNA-Asp". Lineage: Eukaryota; Metazoa; Arthropoda; Insecta; Lepidoptera; Noctuidae. The record is from RNAcentral.